Molecule: ribosomal RNA, 502 nt
Filed under: uncultured Glomeromycotina
Lineage: Eukaryota; Fungi; Glomeromycota
Description: partial small subunit ribosomal RNA
Rfam family: Eukaryotic small subunit ribosomal RNA
Source: RNAcentral
CCAAUAGCGUAUAUUAAAGUUGUUGCAGUUAAAAAGCUCGUAGUUGAACUUCGGGGUCUACCCAUUGGUCAGGCUUAAUUGUCUGUACUGGUGAGAUGGAUCUCUACCUUCUGAGGAACUUUCAUGCCAUUUAUUUGGUGUGGUUGGAAAUCAGGACUGUUACUUUGAAAAAAUUAGAGUGUUUAAAGCAGACUAUCGUCUGAAUACAUUAGCAUGGAAUAAUGAAAUAGGACGGACUGAUUCUAUUUCGUUGGUUUCUAGGAUCACCGUAAUGAUUAAUAGGGAUAGUUGGGGGCAUUAGUAUUCAAUUGUCAGAGGUGAAAUUCUUGGAUUUAUUGAAGACUAACUACUGCGAAAGCAUUUGCCAAGGAUGUUUUCAUUAAUCAAGAACGAAAGUUAGGGGAUCGAAGACGAUCAGAUACCGUCGUAGUCUUAACCAUAAACUAUGCCGACUAGGGAUCGGACGAAGUUAAUUUUUUAACGACUUGUUUGGUACCUUACG